GUGACUGUAGCUCAACCUGGUUAGAGCGUCGCCCUGUGGAGGCGAAUGUUGCGGGUUCAACUCCCGUCAGUCACCCCA
Molecule: transfer RNA, 78 nt
Filed under: Candidatus Roizmanbacteria bacterium RIFOXYA1_FULL_37_12
Lineage: Bacteria; Candidatus Roizmaniibacteriota
Also listed under: 9 other names
Description: tRNA-His
Rfam family: tRNA
About the family: Transfer RNA (tRNA) molecules are approximately 80 nucleotides in length. Their secondary structure includes four short double-helical elements and three loops (D, anti-codon, and T loops). Further hydrogen bonds mediate the characteristic L-shaped molecular structure. tRNAs have two regions of fundamental functional importance: the anti-codon, which is responsible for specific mRNA codon recognition, and the 3' end, to which the tRNAs corresponding amino acid is attached (by aminoacyl-tRNA synthetases). tRNAs cope with the degeneracy of the genetic code in two manners: having more than one tRNA (with a specific anti-codon) for a particular amino acid; and 'wobble' base-pairing, i.e. permitting non-standard base-pairing at the 3rd anti-codon position.
Source: RNAcentral